Myotis brandtii (Brandt's bat) is the source of this 451-nucleotide long non-coding RNA. RefSeq lists it as uncharacterized. The record is from RefSeq and is a predicted model, not a curated record. NCBI's taxonomy places the organism in Eukaryota, Metazoa, Chordata, Mammalia, Chiroptera, Vespertilionidae. The transcript has 5 exons.
UGGGAGCCCUUGGUCCGAUGCAGGUCGUGUGUGUUUGUGACUCGUGUGGGCAGCUGUUGGAGGGAGCCGUGACGGACCGGUGGAGGUGGUGUCAUGUAUUGAAGGUGGAGGUUCCGGUUUGGCCAUCCAUGUGAGGUCGUUGUGCUUUGGAGCUUCCGUGUGCAGUGACCCAGCAUGUCCUUGGGUGGAUGUCUUUCUGCCGUGAAGAGAGAGGAAUGGAGAGGGAGAGGCACGGGAUGAAGAGGUUGAACCAUGGAUCAUCUACCUUCUUCACAGCUUGAACUGGCGACGGCUGUGCCUACCUGAAAGGUCUGUGUGCCUUUCCUCGUGGCCAUGUUGUCACGAUUGAGGUUGCUGUUGUUGUGGAGGGAUCUGUGCCUUGUUUUGGAGGGACCUGUGCCCCUGCCCUCACCUGGCCAGCGUGGAACGACGUGUGCUGUGCUUGUGAUGC